AUUGAACGCUGGCGGAAUGCUUUACACAUGCAAGUCGAGCGGCAGCGCGGGGGCAACCCUGGCGGCGAGCGGCGAACGGGUGAGUAACAUAUCGGAACGUACCCCGUCGUGGGGGAUAACACAGCGAAAGCUGUGCUAAUACCGCAUACGACCUGAGGGUGAAAGCGGGGGAUCGCAAGACCUCGCGCGAUGGGAGCGGCCGAUAUCGGAUUAGCUUGUUGGUGAGGUAAAGGCUCACCAAGGCGACGAUCCGUAGCUGGUCUGAGGAGGACGACCAGCCACACUGGAACUGAGACACGGUCCAGACUCC
Molecule: ribosomal RNA, 310 nt
Filed under: uncultured bacterium
Lineage: Bacteria
Description: bacterial SSU rRNA
Rfam family: Bacterial small subunit ribosomal RNA
Source: RNAcentral